This 503-nucleotide ribosomal RNA is filed under the name uncultured bacterium. RNAcentral describes it as "partial 16S ribosomal RNA". It matches the Rfam family "Bacterial small subunit ribosomal RNA", at positions 30 to 523 of the family's 1533-position model. The record is from RNAcentral.
AUUGAACGCUGGCGGCAGGCUUAACACAUGCAAGUCGAGCGGGGUGAUGGUGCUUGCACUAUCACUUAGCGGCGGACGGGUGAGUAAUGCUUAGGAAUCUGCCUAUUAGUGGGGGACAACAUCUCGAAAGGGAUGCUAAUACCGCAUACGUCCUACGGGAGAAAGCAGGGGAUCACUUGUGACCUUGCGCUAAUAGACGAGCCUAAGUCGGAUUAGCUAGUUGGUGGGGUAAAGGCCUACCAAGGCGACGAUCUGUAGCGGGUCUGAGAGGGUGAGCCGCCAAACUGGGACUGAGCCACGGGCCAGACUCCUACGGGAGGCAGCAGUGGGGAAUAUUGGACAAUGGGGGGAACCCUGAUCCAGCCAUGCCGCGUGUGUGAAGAAGGCCUUAUGGUUGUAAAGCACUUUAAGCGAGGAGGAGGCUCUUUUGGUUAAUACCCAAGAUGAGUGGACGUUACUCGCAGAAUAAGCACCGGCUAACUCUGUGCCAGCCGCCGCGGUAA